This 253-nucleotide ribosomal RNA is filed under the name uncultured bacterium. Its description in RNAcentral is "partial 16S ribosomal RNA". It matches the Rfam family "Bacterial small subunit ribosomal RNA", at positions 524 to 776 of the family's 1533-position model. The record is from RNAcentral.
UACGGAGGGGGCUAGCGUUGUUCGGAAUUACUGGGCGUAAAGCGCGCGUAGGCGGCUUGCCAAGUUGGGGGUGAAAUCCCAGGGCUCAACCCUGGAACUGCCCUCAAAACUGGUUCGCUAGAGUCCGGGAGAGGUGAGUGGAAUUCCCAGUGUAGAGGUGAAAUUCGUAGAUAUUGGGAAGAACACCAGUGGCGAAGGCGGCUCACUGGACCGGUACUGACGCUGAGGCGCGAAAGCGUGGGGAGCAAACAGG